CAAUUACUGUCAAGAAAUGAUUCAUCAGAUCCUGGUUGCGUGUCAUCUGUCAAUGGUAGUCAAACAUGGCUACAAGCAAACCUUGGAAGGUUUUCUGUUUUUGCAACCCUAGAGGAAUUGCUGGUCCUCAAUCCCAACUUCUCAAGUACUGAAUUCUUGUCAGAACUGGAUCCCGC
This is a long non-coding RNA of Melanotaenia boesemani (Boeseman's rainbowfish), 176 nucleotides long. RefSeq lists it as uncharacterized. The transcript is spliced from 3 exons. The record is from RefSeq and is a predicted model, not a curated record. NCBI's taxonomy places the organism in Eukaryota, Metazoa, Chordata, Actinopteri, Atheriniformes, Melanotaeniidae.